GUCAUAUGCUUGUCUCAAAGAUUAAGCCAUGCAUGUCUCAGUACAAGCCAAAUUAAGGUGAAACCGCGAAAGGCUCAUUAAAUCAGUUAUGGUUCCUUAGAUCGUACCCACAAUUACUUGGAUAACUGUGGUAAUUCUAGAGCUAAUACAUGCAAACAGAGCUCCGACCGGAGACGGAAGGAGUGCUUUUAUUAGAUCAAAACCAAUCGGUGGCGGGUUCGCGCCCGUUAUCGUACAACUUGGUGACUCUGAAUAACUUUACGCUGAUCGCACGGUCAUCGCACCGGCGACGCAUCUUUCAAAUGUCUGCCUUAUCAACUGUCGAUGGUAGGUUCUGCGCCUACCAUGGUUGUAACGGGUAACGGGGAAUCAGGGUUCGAUUCCGGAGAGGGAGCCUGAGAAACGGCUACCACAUCCAAGGAAGGCAGCAGGCGCGCAAAUUACCCACUCCCGGCACGGGGAGGUAGUGACGAAAAAUAACGAUACGGGACUCAUCCGAGGCCCCGUAAUCGGAAUGAGUACACUCUAAACCCUUUAACGAGGAUCAAUUGGAGGGCAAGUCUGGUGCCAGCAGCCGCGGUAAUUCCAGCUCCAAUAGCGUAUAUUAAAGUU
Molecule: ribosomal RNA, 612 nt
Filed under: Trigonopterus finniganensis
Lineage: Eukaryota; Metazoa; Arthropoda; Insecta; Coleoptera; Curculionidae
Also listed under: 1 other name
Description: SSU rRNA
Rfam family: Eukaryotic small subunit ribosomal RNA
Source: RNAcentral